AUUUAUGUAGUUUAAGAAAACAUUACAUUUUCACUGUAAAGAUAAAGAUUAACUUUUAUAAAUA
RNAcentral lists this transfer RNA (64 nucleotides) under Heterotermes tenuior. RNAcentral's name for it is "tRNA-Glu". It matches the Rfam family "tRNA". Rfam says of the family: Transfer RNA (tRNA) molecules are approximately 80 nucleotides in length. Their secondary structure includes four short double-helical elements and three loops (D, anti-codon, and T loops). Lineage: Eukaryota; Metazoa; Arthropoda; Insecta; Blattodea; Rhinotermitidae. The record is from RNAcentral.